Molecule: ribosomal RNA, 497 nt
Filed under: uncultured bacterium
Lineage: Bacteria
Description: partial 16S ribosomal RNA
Rfam family: Bacterial small subunit ribosomal RNA
Source: RNAcentral
GAUGAACGCUGGCGGCGUGCCUAAUACAUGCAAGUCGAGCGAACAGAUGAGGAGCUUGCUCCUCUGACGUUAGCGGCGGACGGGUGAGUAACACGUGGAUAACCUACCUAUAAGACUGGGAUAACUUCGGGAAACCGGAGCUAAUACCGGAUAAUAUAUUGAACCGCAUGGUUCACAAGUGAAAGACGGUUUUGCUGUCACUUAUAGAUGGAUCCGCGCCGCAUUAGCUAGUUGGUAAGGUAACGGCUUACCAAGGCAACGAUGCGUAGCCGACCUGAGAGGGUGAUCGGCCACACUGGAACUGAGACACGGUCCAGACUCCUACGGGAGGCAGCAGUAGGGAAUCUUCCGCAAUGGGCGAAAGCCUGACGGAGCAACGCCGCGUGAGUGAUGAAGGUCUUCGGAUCGUAAAACUCUGUUAUUAGGGAAGAACAAAUGUGUAAGUAACUAUGCACGUCUUGACGGUACCUAAUCAGAAAGCCACGGCUAACUACGUG